RNAcentral lists this microRNA precursor (176 nucleotides) under Oryza rufipogon (brownbeard rice). Its description in RNAcentral is "MIR812 microRNA precursor family". It matches the Rfam family "MIR812 microRNA precursor family", at positions 27 to 202 of the family's 205-position model. The record is from Rfam by way of RNAcentral. Lineage: Eukaryota; Viridiplantae; Streptophyta; Magnoliopsida; Poales; Poaceae.
CCAACGUUUGACCGUUCGUUUUAUUUGAAAAAAUUAUGAAAAGAAUUAAAAAGAUAAGUUACGUAUAAAGUAUUAAUCAUGUUUUAUCAUCUAAUAACAAUGAAAAUACUAAUUAUAAAAAAUUUUCAUAUAAGACGGACAGUCAAACGUUGGCACAGAAACCCACAGUUUGCCUU